RNAcentral lists this long non-coding RNA (1171 nucleotides) under Calidris pugnax (ruff). RNAcentral describes it as "lncRNA (ENSCPUG00000013024.1)". Lineage: Eukaryota; Metazoa; Chordata; Aves; Charadriiformes; Scolopacidae. The record is from RNAcentral.
CGCCAAGUCCCCAGGGAGCCCCAAGGGACCCCCCGGGGGACACAAACUACGACGACGUGGGCAUCAGCACCCUGGGGACAUCGCCGUGAGGACGCCCGGGCCACAGCGCGGGGGUCCCUGGGGACACACCUGCAGGGUGGUGGGGCUCUGUCCCCAAGAAGGGGUGGCCCUGGCUACGGAGGAGGUCACCUCUCCCUGCCCAGGACCACAGCACAGCGACAGCACAGCUCCCCCGGCCCCGGGGCAGGCUUUGCUUUUAUUAUUUCAUUGUCAGUUUAUCCUUUUUUUUUCUUUUUUUCUCUAUUAAACCCCCCAACUGGGUGGACACUCUCUUCCAGGGCUGGCACCUCUCUGCUGGGUCCCUCUGCCAUCCCGCAGGGACGUGGGGCAGGAGCUGGACCCACAGGGACAUCCCUGGGGACGCAGGGACAGGGGGAGAGAGGAGGGGGAAGAGCCAGGGGACUGGCCCCGGGGCCUUUCUUUGUCAUCGCCCAAAACUCUUCCCAGCGUGGGGAAAACGGGAGAGGGAAGGAGCAGGACCAGCCCUGCCCUGCCCCCCAGCAGAUGCAGGCAGGACCCCCAAGUGUGGGGCAGGCUCAGACCCAGGGAGGCUUCCCCCCGCCUUCAGCAGCACCGCAAAUGGGGCUAGAAGUGGCUGGGGUUGUUGCGAGGGGCUCUCCUAAAGGAGGGGAGCCCCUUCCUGCCCCCCGGCCCCCCUGUGCCCCCCAGCGUGCCGUCCCCCAGCUCCAGCCGGGCCAGGGUGGGGUGUUGGGCCAGUAGCCCCGCCAGCUCGGCACAGCAGCUCUCGGACAGCCUGCACCACUGCAGCCUGCGGGGAGGGGACGCAGAGAACGGACCAGCUCGUCACAGCUGCCUUGGCUGCCCACCCCAUUCCCCCUGCCCCUCGGCCAAUCAGCAUGGAGGGACCACACCCACCCACCACAUGGCCAAUCAGAAUGGAAGGACCACACCUACCCACCAUAUGACCAAUCAGCUUGGAAGGGCUCCACCCACCCUCCCAUACCAUGGCCAGUCAGCAUGGAGGGACCACCCCAAGCCAUGGCCAAUCAGCAUGGAGCAACUGCAGCCCCCUUCCACCAGAGGGUCAAUUAGCAUUGAGGGACCACACCCACCCACCAUAUGACGAAUAGCUUGCAAGGGCUCCACCCAC